CUGCGAGGACGACCUCCCCCAUCAGGGCAAGGCAGUCGGGACGACCCGG
Molecule: non-coding RNA, 49 nt
Filed under: Devosia enhydra
Lineage: Bacteria; Pseudomonadati; Pseudomonadota; Alphaproteobacteria; Hyphomicrobiales; Devosiaceae
Description: Vasilyevaea enhydra Guanidine-II sequence
Rfam family: Guanidine-II riboswitch aptamer (mini-ykkC)
About the family: Simpler in structure and has fewer highly conserved nucleotide positions than the ykkC-yxkD leader.
Source: Rfam by way of RNAcentral